GAUGAACGCUGGCGGCGUGCCUAAUACAUGAAGUCGCGCGAACAGACGAGGAGCUUGCUCCUCUGACGUUAGCGGCGGACGGGUGAGUAACACGUGGAUAACCUACCUAUAAGACUGGGAUAACUUCGGGAAACCGGAGCUAAUACCGGAUAAUAUAUUGAACCGCAUGGUUCAAUAGUGAAAGACGGUUUUGCUGUCACUUAUAGAUGGAUCCGCGCCGCAUUAGCUAGUUGGUAAGGUAACGGCUUACCAAGGCAACGAUGCGUAGCCGACCUGAGAGGGUGAUCGGCCACACUGGAACUGAGACACGGUCCAGACUCCUACGGGAGGCAGCAGUAGGGAAUCUUCCGCAAUGGGCGAAAGCCUGACGGAGCAACGCCGCGUGAAUGAUGAAGGUCUUCGGAUCGUAAAACUCUGUUAUUAGGGAAGAACAAAUGUGUAAGUAACUAUGCACGUCUUGACGGUACCUAAUCAGAAAGCCACGGCUAACUACGUG
Molecule: ribosomal RNA, 496 nt
Filed under: uncultured bacterium
Lineage: Bacteria
Description: partial 16S ribosomal RNA
Rfam family: Bacterial small subunit ribosomal RNA
Source: RNAcentral